Bos taurus (domestic cattle) is the source of this 73-nucleotide non-coding RNA. NCBI's taxonomy places the organism in Eukaryota, Metazoa, Chordata, Mammalia, Artiodactyla, Bovidae. The record is from Rfam.
UCCCUGGUGGUUUAGUGGUUAAAACUCCAUGCUUCCAAUGCAAGGGACUCAGGUUUGAUCCCUGGUCAGGGAA